RNAcentral lists this ribosomal RNA (270 nucleotides) under uncultured bacterium. Its description in RNAcentral is "partial 16S ribosomal RNA". It matches the Rfam family "Bacterial small subunit ribosomal RNA", at positions 524 to 794 of the family's 1533-position model. The record is from RNAcentral.
UACGGAGGGUGCAAGCGUUAAUCGGAAUUACUGGGCGUAAAGCGCGCGUAGGCGGCUUGUUAAGUCGGAUGUGAAAUCCCCGGGCUCAACCUGGGAACUGCAUUCGAUACUGGCUGGCUAGAGUGUGGUAGAGGGAAGUGGAAUUCCAGGUGUAGCGGUGAAAUGCGUAGAGAUGCGGAGGAACACCGACGGCGAAGGCAGCCCCUGGGAUAACACUGACGCUCAUGCACGAAAGCGUGGGGAGCAAACAGGAUUAGAAACCCGGGUAGU